This 29-nucleotide non-coding RNA is filed under the name Rattus norvegicus (Norway rat). Lineage: Eukaryota; Metazoa; Chordata; Mammalia; Rodentia; Muridae. The record is from RNAcentral.
UAGAAGCUGUUCGAUUGCUCUGGGGCUGC